This 397-nucleotide ribosomal RNA is filed under the name Sigara platensis. Its description in RNAcentral is "partial large subunit ribosomal RNA". Lineage: Eukaryota; Metazoa; Arthropoda; Insecta; Hemiptera; Corixidae. The record is from RNAcentral.
ACUGAUUUAUUUAAUGGCCGCGGUAUUUUGACCGUGCAAAGGUAGCAUAAUAAUUUGUCUUUUAAUUGAAGGCUUGUAUGAAUGGUUGGACGAGAAAAUUACUUUCUUUAUAAUAUAAUUAUAAAUUUUAUUUUUUAGUUAAAAAGCUAAAAUUUUAUUGUAGGACGAGAAGACCCUAUAGAACUUUAUAUUUAUUUUUAUAUUAAUAUUUUUGGUUAAUUAUAUAUUAUAUUUUUAUAAAUAUUUUGUUGGGGCGACAAGAAAAUUUAUUUAACUUUUUUUUAUUAAUUUCAUUAAUUAAUGUAUAAAUGAUCCUUUAUUAAGGAUAAUUAGAAUAAGUUACCUUAGGGAUAACAGCGUAAUUUUUUUGGAGAGUUCUUAUCGAUAAAAAAGUUUG